UACAGAGGUCUCAAGCGUUGUUCGGAUUCAUUGGGCGUAAAGGGUGCGUAGGUGGCGUGGUAAGUCUGGUGUGAAAUCCCGGGGCUCAACCCCGGAACUGCACUGGAUACUGCCAUGCUUGAGUACUGGAGAGGAGAUUGGAAUUUACGGUGUAGCAGUGAAAUGCGUAGAUAUCGUAAGGAAGACCAGUGGCGAAGGCGAAUCUCUGGACAGUUCCUGACGCUGAGGCACGAAGGUCAGGGGAGCAAACGGG
RNAcentral lists this ribosomal RNA (253 nucleotides) under uncultured bacterium. Its description in RNAcentral is "partial 16S ribosomal RNA". It matches the Rfam family "Bacterial small subunit ribosomal RNA", at positions 524 to 776 of the family's 1533-position model. The record is from RNAcentral.